Long non-coding RNA from Microplitis mediator, 472 nucleotides. RefSeq lists it as uncharacterized. The record is from RefSeq and is a predicted model, not a curated record. NCBI's taxonomy places the organism in Eukaryota, Metazoa, Arthropoda, Insecta, Hymenoptera, Braconidae. The transcript is spliced from 3 exons.
GUAAGCCGAGCAAUUAAAAUAUAAGGACGAACUUAUGCAAGCAAACGUAGAGGAGUGGCAAUCUAUUAGUGCAAUAGUAUAAAUAAGCCAUUCAAAAUAAUGACUGUUCCAAAAAUACUUAAUCAACGUAUCGAUAGCAUCCGCUAAAAUCCAAAAAAUUACCCAAUACAAAAUGUUUAACCACAAAAUGUUCUUAUUGUUAAUUUUGGCAGUGGCUCUGUUUGCUGCCAAAGCGUAUGCUUGCACUCAAGGCGGCGGAAGUUGCCAAAGUGACGGCAAUUGUUGCAGCGGAACUUGUUAUAAUCUUCCUGAAAUAGGAGAUAAGUUUUGUGGAACCUCCAUUUAAUUGGUUAAAAUUCUAUAAUUUAUUUUUUUCCCAUAAAAUUACUCACCUAUACGGUGAAAUAAUUUUUAAAACUUUGAAUUUGCAAUAAAUUUUUUGUUCAUGGAAAUAAAUAAAUUAAACUAAUAA